RNAcentral lists this ribosomal RNA (2033 nucleotides) under soil metagenome. Its description in RNAcentral is "bacterial LSU rRNA". It matches the Rfam family "Bacterial large subunit ribosomal RNA", at positions 932 to 2925 of the family's 2925-position model. The record is from RNAcentral.
AAGCCUGCCGAAUGCAAUCAAACUCCGAAUGCCGGGGAGAGCAGCGAGGGAGUGAGACUACGGGGGAUAAGCUCCGUGGUCGAAAGGGAAAGAACCCAGACCGCCAGCUAAGGUCCCGGACAGCAGGCUAAGUGGGAAAGGACGUGUGACCGCUAAAACAGCCAGGAGGUUGGCUUAGAAGCAGCCAUCCUUUAAAGAAAGCGUAAUAGCUCACUGGUCGAGCGGUCGCGCACCGACAAUCCAACGGGGCUCAAGCCUGCGACCGAAGCUGCGGAUCCCGCCGCAAGACGGGAUGGUAGGGGAGCAUUCUGUGGUGCUCGAAGGUGGACCGAGAGGAUCACUGGACGCCACGGAAGAGACUCUGCCGGCAUAAGUAGCGAUAAACACGAUGAGAACUCGUGUCGCCGAAAGUCUAAGGUUUCCUGAGGAAGGUUAAUCCGCUCAGGGUUAGGCGGGUCCUAAGGUGAGGCCGAAAGGCGUAGCUGAUGGACAGCAGGUCAACAUUCCUGCCCCACCUGACGGACGUUACGACGAAGGGGCGACGCAGGAGGAUAAGGGAGUCGGGCGAUGGAAAUCCCGAUGGGUCUGUGUAAGCCGGAUCCCGCAGGUAAAUCCACGGGGUCAUUAACGGUGAGACAGGCUCCGAGGCCAUAGGCCGCAAAGUCUCUGAUUCCACUCUGCCAGGAAAACCCCCUAAGCAGUCCGUUAGGUGCCCGUACCUCAAACCGACACAGGUAGGCGAGGAUGAAUAUCCACAGGCGCUCGAGAGAACGCUCGCUCAGGAACUAGGCAAAUUAACCCCGUAACCUCGGGAGAAGGGGUGCCCCACUAGGGUUUAUAGCCCGAAGGGGUCGCAGUGAAAGGCGCGCUACGACUGUUUAACAAAAACACAUCUCUCUGCGAAGUCGAACACGACGUAUAGGGGGUGACGCCUGCCCGGUGCCGGAAGGUUAAAGGGAGGGCUCAGUCUGGAGUAAUCUGGACAAAGGUCUGAUCUGAAGCCCCGGUGAACGGCGGCCGUAACUAUAACGGUCCUAAGGUAGCGAAAUUCCUUGUCGGGUAAGUUCCGACCUGCACGAAUGGCGUAACGAUAGCGCGACUGUCUUGGCGAACGGCUCGGCGAAUUUGUGGUUCCGGUGAAGACGCCGGAUGCCCGCAUCUAGACGGAAAGACCCCGUGCACCUUAACUGCACCCUGGUCAUGAGUAACGGAACGGUCUGCGUAGCAUAGGUGGGAGCCUGGGAACCACGGCUUUUGGGCUGUGGGGAGGCAACAGUGAAAUACCACCCUGAUCGUUCUGUCGCUCUAACCUACGACCCGAAACGGGUCGGGGAACAUGGCCAGGCGGGUAGUUUGACUGGGGCGGUCGCCUCCUAAAAGGUAACGGAGGCGCCCAAAGCUUGGCUCAGGCGGUUUGGAAAUCCGCCGUGGAGUGCAAGGGCACAAGCCAGGUUGACUGCGAGACUGACAAGUCAAGCAGGAGCGAAAGCUGGGCCUAGUGAUCCGGUGGUCCCGCGUGGAAGGGCCAUCGCUCAACGGAUAAAAGGUACGCCGGGGAUAACAGGCUGAUCGGAGCCAAGAGUUCACAUCGACGCUCCGGUUUGGCACCUCGAUGUCGGCUCAUCGCAUCCUGGAGCUGUAGAAGGUUCCAAGGGUUGGGCUGUUCGCCCAUUAAAGCGGUACGUGAGCUGGGUUCAGAACGUCGCGAGACAGUUCGGUCCCUAUCUGGUGUGGGCGCAGGAGAUUUGAGGGGGGUUGUCCUUAGUACGAGAGGACCGGGAUGAACAGACCUCUUGUGUACCAGCUGUCUAAACCAUGGCACGGCUGGGUAGCGAAGUCUGGAAGCGAUAAAUGCUGAAAGCAUCUAAGCGUGAAGCGCGCCCCAAGAUCAUAUCUCCCAAGGAUGAAAGGCGGUUUCGCUAACCGUCGAGAUUCCUCUGAAGGGCCGCGGAAGACUACCGCGUAUAUAGGUCGGACGUGGACGCAGGGUAACCUGUGGAGCUUACCGAUCCUAAUGCCCAUUCGGCUUGACC